CCUACGGGAGGCAGCAGUGGGGAAUUUUGGACAAUGGGCGCAAGCCUGAUCCAGCCAUGCCGCGUGAGUGAAGAAGGCCUUCGGGUUGUAAAGCUCUUUCGGCCGGGACGAAAUCGCAUGCGUGAAUAUCGUGUGUGGAUGACGGUACCGGAAUAAGAAGCACCGGCUAACUACGUGCCAGCAGCCGCGGUAAUACGUAGGGUGCGAGCGUUAAUCGGAAUUACUGGGCGUAAAGCGUGCGCAGGCGGUUUCGUAAGCCAGAUGUGAAAUCCCCGGGCUUAACCUGGGAACUGCAUUUGGGACUGCGAGGCUAGAGUACGGCAGAGGGAGGUGGAAUUCCACGUGUGGCAGUGAAAUGCGUAGAUAUGUGGAGGAACACCGAUGGCGAAAGGCAGCCUCCUGGGCUAGUACUGACGCUCAUGCACGAAAGCUGGGGAGCAAAACAGGAUUAGAUACCCUGGUAGUCCCAGCCCUUAAAACGANANACACUAGUGUGGUAGUUAUAUCUAUACGACAGNACGCGUGAGUAGUCGCCGNGGGAGGACGGCGCGAGAAGUAAACUAACAAAGAAGAGUAGACGACGNGAGAGCGACGACGACGACGACGAGGGAGGAGG
RNAcentral lists this ribosomal RNA (616 nucleotides) under uncultured bacterium. RNAcentral's name for it is "bacterial SSU rRNA". The stretch from base 1 to 535 matches the Rfam family "Bacterial small subunit ribosomal RNA", at positions 338 to 873 of the family's 1533-position model. The record is from RNAcentral.